Taeniopygia guttata (zebra finch) is the source of this 11400-nucleotide non-coding RNA. NCBI's taxonomy places the organism in Eukaryota, Metazoa, Chordata, Aves, Passeriformes, Estrildidae. The record is from RefSeq and is a predicted model, not a curated record.
GCCUAAGGACUGAGUGCAGAUACUUGGGAUUUUCUUGUGUUUCAAAGAAAGAUCUGAGGGUAAAAUCAGCCUUGUUCCCAGCUUUCCUUCUGAGCACAUGCAGCUAUAUAGAGAUUGAGUAACCCUUUAGUGAGGUAUGAGUUUGAUUUCUCUAAGACAGAGAAAAGAUUGCACCUACAUCUGAAAUUUCUUAAGGAAAUAGAAGAUCAUUGUGGAUACUGGACAGACAUUGAUGCUACAUAUUACAGGGAUCCUGGUCUGGCACAUCAGUGAGCCAUAGAAAAGGCAAAAUGAGGUCCUAUAAGAAAAGAGAUCUGGCUGUAACAUCAGAUCUUUUCUUCCCUUACCCUCUUCUCCAAGACUGGAUCAAGAAUUUCCUUGUGAAUCCCAGGAGAAUCUGCAAAGCCCACAGCUUAUGAAAAAGUUGUCCUGGGAAAGAUGUAUCCCUCCCCUCCUCCUCCUCCACCCUGCAGCAGGACCCAUUGUCUGCCGGCGGCAAGGCAUAAAGGAGUUAACGAAGGAGCCGGCGAGGAGGUAUGACGGGGUGAUGUCAGAAUAUUUCCAGGGAAAGAAUGUGCUGGGGGGCGCUGGCCGGGCUGGGGCUGGGGCUGGCGGCCCCCGGCCCCACCCCGACAUUCUUCUUGUCCGGUUCCCACAGGCGGAGAGUGGCACGGGGGGUCAGAGUGGACGAGCACAAAGAGAGACCCCCUGCUGCCGGGGCCAUCGUGCUGGGCUGUCACUGCUACUAAUUCAUGACUUCACCUUUAAUCUCACUGAUCCAUUAUAGGUUAAAAAGAGACCCAUUUUACAGCUGACAAGAUUGAAGGGAGCGCAACCCAGGAACUGGGGGGCGGGGGGGUGGGCAUGGGGUCGGAAAAAAAAAAGAGGGGGAGAGAGAAAUAACCCCCGCUAAAGUUUGUACAAUUGGGACCAUCUGCUAAAAAUAGAUUUUGUGGGGUUUGUUUGUCCUUUCCCUUCACUACGACAAUAUCUAUUUUAAGAAGAAAGCUGGUAACUGCAGUUAUAUCAGAAUUUUUGCACACAGGGUCAGAGCAAAAAGGAAUGGGUAUGAGAGGGAAGACCACGGUAAGAAAAGAUUAAGAUUUUAGGGCCAGGGCUGCACUGGGGAAAGGAUGGGAAGCAUUCAGAUAGCUUAGUGCUGCUUUUAGUGCAUGUUUGGUGAGGUCAUCAUAUAAGGAAAUGACUAAGAAAUUUAUCAAAUGCUGAUGUCAAAGGUAAGCUGAUCAAAUCAACAUUGAUUCAGCAGAUUAGUAACUAAAUGUGUGUGGCACUUACAGCAUGUUUAUAAUGACACAAAUGAAGAAUUUUCAGAAAUCAUUAGACCUCCCGUGCUGUGAGCUGCAGGUGAAGUCUCCAGAAGCAAUUCCACUACUUUCGUUAGUAGCAUAAUCACGUCUAAUUUGUCCUUUAAUGAAGGUUUUUAUGCUGUUAUUUCAAGCAACUAAAGCGCAUAUUUUCAGUGAACUUCAAAAAGUAAGCAAGUUGGAAAGAAAAAAGUGUAGUCUCUGAAAAAAAUGAAGCAGUGGAGGAAUGGUAUUUUGCCAUACACCCGCAAAAAGAACUACUUUUUAGCAUAUAGCAAAGAAUUCUUGGAUUUCCUGGUUUUGUUCUAUAUAAGUGAGGAUGCUGUUUGUAGCUGUGUGUAAUGCUAGUUCAGGGGGUUAGGGCAUUGCUCCUUUUUGCUUCCUCUAACUGAUGAUCUUUGACAAAACCUUUUAAUUCCCAAAGCAUAUUUACCAAGUCCACCAAACUAGUCUAUCAUUCCUACUGUUCUGAUUGUAUCAGAGAGCAUUGAAGCCCAAGAAGUAAAUUGUUUGCUGGAUUCUCCCUGUCUUUUUUGCCCUUGAACUGCUGGAGCUGCAUCUCAUAGGAUUUUGCAACAUAAGUAUGUAGUUUUAUACUGCCAGAAGUGCAGAGCUUUUGCAUAUGCUACACCAUCCUGUUCCUUCCUUUUUCCACUCCCAGCAGAGGAACUCUGGAAGUUACUGGCAUCACGGCUGCCCACUGCCAUGAGGUGAGGGUGGAGAGUGGGGAAGUUUAUCAUGAGGAUGCAAAAGAAAUUUGCGAAGAUUUUUGGGGUUUUGGGAAUCAAGUCUGUGAAGGAGAUCAGCUUCUGGUGUCUGUUGUGGGAAGUUAUAAGAAAGAAUGGGGACCUUUUCCGUGAGCCAUUGUCAGUUAUAGUCAGUGAUGAAAGUCCUAUUGAAAAGAGCCUCUGAUCAAAUCCAAACCUGUUCUCCUGAGAGUGACAUUGCCUGCAAAUGGAGGCAGAUUGAGGUCCGCAACUGGCCAGUGCUUUGGACACAUUCUGCUUGCUUUAGUCACACAAAAUGACGUACUGAUGCAAGUUUCCAGCAUCCAAACAGGCAGCCCUUUCAUAGGCAAAAGCCCUAAUGAAGUCACUGGCAGACAGCCUCACUGGCCUAAGGCCUGCAGGCUAUUUCCCUAGUCAAUACACUGGACCUAAUCUUAUACCCCUUGAGCAUCAAACCCCAUGUGUAUUUUCUGCAAGUAUUUGUUCUCUUUCUGCAGAAGUGCAAGAUUUGUGUGCAGUAGAGUGCGGUGUCAGUGAGCAGCUGCUUCUCCUUCAGCAUGAGUUGUUCAGCACACAGACUUCAUUGGCUGCUGGUUGGACAAAACCACACUGCAAAGCUGAGGCGAGGAGCAGCGAGGCUGCCAAAUACAAACCUCCUGUUUUAGUUUGCAGAUGCCCAGAAGGAGCCAAGAAAGCAGCUUCCAUGUGUAUUGGAUGGAUAAGGGUUGAACUGCUGAACUGGAUGGCAACAGCUUGGCCUGGAAGCAAAAGAGGAGGGAAUGAAGGUGGUACAGAUUACCAGACUAAUUGCUUUUUCUUUUUUAAAGUAAAGUGAAGCACCCUAUGGAAGACACAGGACAUUCAUACACCCAAAUCUGUGUCAGCAUCCUGCUGGCAGUAAGAGCUUUUGCACAAACAUCUGAUUGCAGAGCUAGAAUUCAACAAAGCAAGAAGAAACAGGCUGGAGAGCAACUACCUAAAUACAUGCAGUAACACAGAGAGUGGGAAGCGGAACUGAGAGAACAAUAAAUGAAGAAACAAUGAAAAGGUCAAGCACUUACUCAGGAUUCCUCAUGAAUACUGCUGAAGGAAAUCUUGCUUAUAGUGGAAAAACCCAAAUAUAAGAUGCAAAGAGCACAUGGGGCCAUCAAGACAGGAUGAAGCUCCAUUUUUGUGACUGCCUUCACGAGAAUGCCCUGAUUUAAAAGAGAGAUACAUUUUGUGCAGAUGAUAUUGGAACAUUUGAUGCACAAACAUGAUCUUCCAUCCUUCCUUUCCACAUAGUGCUGGUUCAGUUGCAAAUGUGUGGAUGGCAGAACCCUCGCUUACUGUGCAAGUGAACUGGGGUAAGACAUGUGUGGUGACCAUGGUUCUGCAAGCUCCAGAGUUUUCAGAGCAUCUGGAGCAGAGUUCCCUGGCUGUGGGGGGCUCACGAGUGGCUCGUGUGUCCACAUGGAUACUGAGGCUGGGUGGGGGAAGAGGGCAGGUGUGUCCACAUGUAGGUGAAGGGUUGUUGAAGAAAAUGGAAGAAGGAAAUUGCCAUCUCAGGGGUUGUGAAGCCUAAUACUACUUGAGCUACUUUUGCAGCCAUCAGACCAAGCUGUGUUGGAAAGGAUAAAAGAAAGCCAACAUGGCACACUGAAACCCCCAUAUGUGGUACCUUCAAGGAUUCCCUUCAGCAGUACCCCAUCGCUACUCUUUACUCAGGAAAAAUAUUUUCUCAAAUAUUCUUCAGUGCUGCUUACAUUCCUGAUCUUCUCCAUCCCCUUCCUGCAGUGCAUAUGUUCCUCUGCUCUCUGGUGUUUUUCUUUUGGUACAUGUUUCCUUGGCAUGUGGUCCUUUCCUCUUCUGGACCUCCUGCCUCAUCAUCUUCUCCCACUGGCAAUUCUGGCCCCACUGGCUUUCUGUAUAGUGCUUGUACAGUUCUUUCUUCGUGCUCUAGAAAAAGCAAAGCAGGGGUGCAGUGUCAGACAAACCCAGAUGAAAAAGGAAGGGAUGGAUCUGACAACUCCAUGAACCUGCAAGUGUCUCACACUUGGAAUCCUCUUAGCUCUUGCUGGGCUGGUUGCAGUAGGUGACUGAGCUAUAGGAACUGUUUCACCCAGAACUGACAAGACAGAAAAUGAUGUAUCACAGCUUUGAGAAAAAAGUGUGAUUACACAGUACCCUAAUUUCUAUUUAAAUAUAAUCCCAAAUCGCUCCUGCAUUUCUCUGACAUCCGGGGUAAAAAAAUAUUUUCAUUUGUUUUAUUAAAAAAAAAAAAACAACAAAUAAAAAACAAGUGAAAGCAAACAAACUUUCAAAUUAAUCCCCAUACUAACUGCAUUGCAAGUAAUACAGUUACAUCAGGGCUUCCUUUGGGUCAAUAUUUUCUUUUGCCUGAAGGCCAAAUAGGUACUUAAGCAUCACCUAAUAACCAAAGACCAAAUACAAGCACCAGGCUGACAUGUCAUCCAUUUUCCACCCCCUCCAGAUUGUUUCUGUCUGUCUCAUGCUCUUCAAAUGGCAAUGCAAAGCCCAUAUGCUAUGGUGUCAGGGAAAAAUUCCCAACACAGCAUCUGGCUGCAUGGCAGAUCCCAAGGCAGUUGGUGUAUCAGCUUUGGAGCUGCCUCUGCUUUUGUCAUGUACCAGGGAUUGGUGAUGGGACUGCCUUGUCACCCCACAAAUCACUUCGGAUUCCAAGGAAUCACUAGGUUUGUGUUUGUAAAUAAGCUUCUGCUUAAGCCUUUCAUGAGAUCUCUAUACAGGCCUCCUAUUACGGCAAAAUAAUGAGAAUUUCUUAACACCAAUGUGAGUGUGUUCAGCAGAAAUAUGUGGGUUUAUUUUAAAGUGGACCUCAGCCUGGUACAUACAGGUCACUGUAUACUGGGAUUUCUUUCUCAGAAAACUCUCUUGAAUCUUGAAUGCUCUUUGAAAAGGUCUUUUUUUUUUUUUCCCUUUGCUCACCAGUGUAGAAGCCAUUUCUUGAUGAAUAGGAUCCAUAAUGCCUGGAGAUAUUUGAGAUCAAGCAUAUGGUCCUUUGAAUAUGCAUGGCAGCGGGGUGGGAGGGAAUUGAUGUGCAGCACUGGGGAAAGUGUGUCUGAAAGUUAAGCAGUGCAGAGUUUGGGGGCAGCCUUUCUGCAUAUUUGGGGAACCAUCACUUUCUGUUUCCUCUGAUAUACUAGUGACUAGCUAGCAAUUUGUGGUCAAAAGCAUAGCUGUGGGGGUUGAGUACUCAAAGAUUUGAUCUUGGCUUGUGUUAGACAGAAAAAUACCAUUUCACUUGUGGUUUCCUGCAAAAUGUUUGCUUUUACAACCAAACCAUUAAACAAUAAAAACUCAAGUUAUUCAGAAGUACAUAAAGAUAAGAAACUUAUUUAACUGACAAAUGACCAAUUCUUUGCUAGGAGAGAGUCUCAAAUGACUCUUCUUCACAUUUAAAUGAAAAGAGUGCUUGGAGAUUACACAUUCUGGUAAGUUUUCCUUACCAGUGGAGAGAGAGAAAAGGAGACAGGACUGAAUAGGAGCGAUUGGGCAUGAAGUAGUAACUAUGAGGUCCCGGAGGCAGGAGAACAAGAGAGGGAAGAAAAAAAAAAAGACAAGAGAACCCAGAAGAAAGGCAAGGGGGAGGAGGGGUGGAGGAAAAGAUAUGUAGCAGUUAUUUAAGAGAUGCCAGGGAAAACUGGGAUGUUUGUGUGUUUGAGAAGAAAGACAAUUUUAAAGUACAGAAACUGAGCCAGGAACUAUGAAGAUUUACUGGAGAUAACCCUGGAUAAAAUGUUACAUAUCUGAGACUUGAAAAAGUUUUGGGAGGGGUGGGGGGUUUGAUUUUUUUAUGUCAUUGCCACAGCAUUUUUUUUACAUGUCAAAAUGUCACAAAUAUAUUAAGAUUAAUUUACUUCAUGGCACAAAAUAAUGAAUCACACUGCAUUCAUUUCUUACGGUUGCUGAAAGUCCUGGAGAAAUGAAGAAUUAAAAGCCUUUUUAAAAUAACCUUCUCCCUCAUAUGCAGGAUGUGACAGUGGGGCAACCACAGUGAUGUGCACCAUCGUCAGUAUUCCUACCAAAGGAAUUUUCAUUUUCUGAUCUUACUAGUAAGAGUGGAUAUGGGAGAGAAGAAAGAUGCUUCAUUACUGCAUGUAAUAGCCCUGAAUAAAUUGCACAAAACUGACCUUUUGCACAUCUUGAGUCUUGCAGAUAUACCAUUUUGUGGAGGACAGGGUGUCUGUGUGUGUGUGUGUCUGUGAAAAAUGCAUGUGUGGGGUCAUGUUUUAAAACAAACUCUAUGUCAAAACCAAUACAAUUCUGAAACAAAACUCUAGACCUUUCUGCUGUCUGGUUAGUGUGGGACUGACCCUUCAGCAUUCAUGCAUCUCUUAAAUCUGAUUUAAAAUCACAAAGGUGGGGGGAGGAGAAACACUAGGUUCAUAUACUCUUAUUUUUGUCUAGUCAAGUAAGCAUUUUCAAUGGUGUCUUUGCCAGAACAGUUCUUCCUAUCAAUGGGUCCUGUGUGAAUAUUGAGGAUGACAGCUUAAAUCACUGUGAGAAUGAUGAACACAUUACAACACCUUGUUUUGCUGCUGUAAGUCCUGACACAUGGCACCAGCAACAUGUGCAACUCAGGGAAUUAUGCAGGCCUGUACAUAGACACUGAAGAUGCACCAAAAUGGCACCUCAGAAUUGUGGCUCUGAAAACUAAUUUUGCCCAGCCACGCAGGUCUGCUGACACAAGCACAAGGAUCAUCUGUUUCUGCAGACACUACUGCACACUGCAGAUAUCCUGGGCAGGAAGUUUUCUGAGAACACCUGCAUCUCAGUUGCUGUGACUUCAGCUGAUUACCUGGGGUGCCUGAUUUAGGCUUUCUGACUACUAUUGCAUCCAAAAUCUUCAGUGAUUCAGACAGCUACUGACAAAUCCUGGUCCUUUGUACAGUCACUGGAGAGAAGUAAUUUCCAUGCCUAAGUGCAGAUCUGACUAGGACCCAUCAUUGUAUUGUCUGUUUUAUCUCCACAAGCAGGAAGAACAAAUAAUUCUGAAGCACUGAAAAAAAUCUUUUCUACCUUCCUGGGUCUCGUCUGUCAUGGUUUCCCUGGGAAGAAGACAAGAAGAGGACCACAUAUUUAAUUUUUUUCUAUGGGUUUUGUUUGCUUCAAAGAUUGAACUGAGUUUGCUUUUUCUUUCUUCUCGUAUUUGAGGGGCCCGAGAGCAUGAGUAGCUCUUCUCUUGAGCCCAUUUGAAAAGUAUGUUAAGUGCGGCAGUAUUGUUGCAUCAUUUUUUCAUAGUGUUCUUCACAAGUAUAUAGAAAUUAAAAUUCAGUUCUAAAAGAGUGCACAGCACUGGUAUUAUAAAAAUCUUUUUAAUUGAGUUACUUAAGAGAAGAUGUUUACUUACUCCUUAUCUCAGUGACCAAUCUAUUUACAUCCAGGCACUUUUCAACAAUGCAUUUUUGAAAAAAAAAAAAGCACAUGAGAAGAGUUUUGAAGUUUUGAAAUCUUCACAAACAGAAAAAGUUUUGAAAGUCUUGGGCAGUUUUUCUGAAAAAGAGCAGAAAAAACCCUGGAAAAGGCUUUGAACUUUGCCAUAGUGAUCUCUAUUUUCACGGUUACUAAGCAAAACUUUGGACAUGGACAUUCUGAGGGGGUUGUUUAAUGAUAAAUGAAAAGUUUCUUGUAAACAUUAAAGGAAAAAAUAGCAUGGAUGGAAAGUGAAACCCAACUUGGUAUCUCCUUUAUCACUUGGUCUAUCUAAAGUGGAAAACUCAGAGGUGAAAAUAAACAGUGGAAGAAAUGGAGAAAUCAAAACAACAAAUAAAAAGUGAGCAGAUGACUCAUGAGAAAGAGGCUGUUACCCUACGGAGAAAUCUGAGGCUGUUUUAUAACAUUUGCCAUGGCUUUGUCACAGCACAUGAGAUCUGUCAUAUACAUGUUUUGUACCUUAUUUGAAUGGUCCCUUGAAAUAAUUCAUGCUGCUUCAUGAUAGAAAACAUAAAAAAGGCUACAAGAAAGGAAUGAGAUGUCAGCAUAGCACUGAAUCAAAUUUUUCAGCAUAUUAUAGGAGGAGAAGCCAUGGCACCUGAAGCCAAAAAUCUAUGAGACAGUGCAAAUUUGUUUUGAAACAAAUAUCAACAAUGAAAUACUUACUAGAUUGUCUGAGCCCUGGAAAGUCAGUGAAUUAGUUCCAGCAUUGACACAAUGAGGUUAUUUUACCAAGCUGAUAGACCGUAAUGAUUAUCAAAUGUGUUCAAGGAAAUCAAAUCCUGUAGUCAAGUCAAUCCCAUCCAGAACCUGAUUAGCUUUUAGAGCUCAAGCUUGAUUACCUUAAUUUCAUUAGUAAAAAACACCACAAGACUAGCAGACACUUAGAACCAUCAAAUGAUUUUUUUCCUUGUGAUCUCAGAGUUGAUGUCACGUGAGAAGGCAACAAAAGACUGACACAGACAUUGAUUCUGCAGGACAUCUGCAUAGGACUUUUUAACUGUCUUUUGGCUGUGAAGAAGUUGUUAGAUGCACUUUUUUCCUUGAGCUUCUAUCUGUAAGAACAUGUGAAAAAUGGUGGUAUAUGAGGGAAGUGGUUUUAACACUCUAGACAAACACAAGAGAGGAGCUUGUGUACAUGGAACUGCUGGUGGUGCAUUGUAUUUAGACACAAGCUGCUUAAAGAAGUUCCUGUUAGACACUGCGUGGUGCCCUUCUGAAAAGAGAAAGAUAUGACAUAGUCAAGUGUGAAGAGACUGUGUUCUAUCCAUUUUUCUUAUUUCCCUGGGCAGAAAUUAUGUUUUGUCUGAGAAUGUUACCCGGUGAAUCGAUACUUCUUACUGCUGCUAGUUGUCUCACUGAAUGUACAGCUGGCAAACUACGUGGAUAUAUAGAUGAAGAGAUAUUGAAAAUCAUGUAGCAAGAUAUUAAAAAACAGUCUGGACAUGGCCCUGCUUUAGGUGCCCAUGCUUGAACAGGGGGUUGGACAAGAUAAUUCCUGGAGGUCCAUUCUGACCUGUGAUUCUGUAGUAACAUCACAAAAGCUGAUCAUUGUCUUUGCUCUGAAAACAACAGGUCAUGUCACACUCUUAUCAUGGAAAUAGUAACCAUGUGAGCCUUAAUUUUAGUGUCAAUCCUCUCUUUUAAUAUAGCGAUGUCAACCUUCUUGCAGACAGCUACUUGGUGGUGUGGGCUCAGCUGGUGUCAGCAGGUAUAAUCUGGGCUGAUACUACAUCCCAAUGAAACCUAAUGAGCCCAUUUCUCAUUUAUGCCCCAUACAUCUGACAUGGCUUUACAGAACUUUGUGAAAACCUACUAUUUAUGUUGUGGGUAGAUGUACUUUGGGAUCCAGAGUGCAUCUGGAUCAUGCAGAGUUAUCUGCAUUAUGUGUCAGCUUUUGAGAGGGUAAGCAGUCAUUCCUCCUGCCUACCUCCAGAUCUGACAGUUUGUGUGGCAGCUGUAGAACCACUUCCCUGCAAAGUCCAAGCUGUCUUUGAAGAACCUUGUGCUACUGUCAUUGAGAGGCUGGAGCUCUGCCAGCACCCACAUUGCUUUGAGGGCUGGUGGGUACAUGAGGAAAGUAAGAUCCCUGAGCCUCUCCUUCCCACAGCCCUCCCACACAGGUCUUUGCAGAGCUGAGCCUUGGCUUUUAAACCAGCACAAUUUAAAAAAAUACUCUUUGAAUAACCAUUUUAGUGUCUGACAUUGUCAGUUAUUAAUCAUAAAAAUCCUCUGAUGGAGCCCUGCAGAAGGAACUGGAACUGAACCCAAUCAGAUACCAUAUUUUAAUUAUAUUGCCUCAGCAAUGCAGUUUUGCCCAUGGUAAUUUUUCAUACAGCAUUUGCAAGGUGGAAACUGUCACAGCUCAAAAAGAGUUCAAACAAUUAACAUACUAUUUAAAACUUAAUCUUUGAAAGGUAUAUUUCAUUGAGGUUUCAUAUUGCAAAGAAAAGAUGGUCACAGAUUUCACAAACAUUCCUGCAAAUAAUUCUUCCCAUUUUUCUGAUACCCAUGAUGCUGGUUAAAAAAUAGUAGCAUUUCUGGUUGUCACUAGGAAGAAAGGGUAGUAUUUUAGAAUUUUUAAAAAGUGUUCUUUUUUCACAUAUUUCUAUUUUUGUGGGACAAAUUAAAUAUAGUUGGGGCUUAGAACAUGAAGUUGUUUUGAUAGGUGAAUGUUGGCACUAUCCUCAGAAAUUAUCAGCUUCUUCCAGGUAAAUUCUUCUUGAGGACAUUUACCACCCUGGGACUUCAGCAAAUUGCAUUAACUAAUGAACGUUGAAUUUGCCUAAACUUUGUCACUUAACAGAAAGUGGAGGACAUAAUUCUGCCUUCUUCCCCUGGCUCCCAUGUUCUCCUUACCUUUGGAAUCCUGUACUUCAGAAAUGCAUGGAUGGCUGUGCAGGGUGUGAUUACUGCUGAGUGGUUGUACUGUGUACUGUGUGAUAUUCUUGAUGGUUUGUAUUUUUGGGGGUUUUACAUGGAGAAAGAACUUCGUUUCAGCAUGGACCUAGGAAACCGUUGCUUUUAGGAGUGCUACUGCCUACUGCUGUUGUAAAGAGCGCAAGAGGAGGAUGCAGCAGUGAUGGUUUUUAUCAAUAAUGAUAACUGCUUUUUAUUUAUAUUUCCGAAAUCUAGCUUGCAUACUAUUUAGUGUAGUGGUUCUGAUGCGCCUUCCAACUCCCACAUGGAAGUUGCUGCUCUCAGUACAGUUGCAGUGAGCUGCCUACACUUAAAAUAUGCCACCUGAUCUUGUGUUUUCCUGCAGAAUGGUUUUAGUAGGCAUGAAAAAAUGUGGUACAGACAUGUCAUGGGCUUUCUGAAAAAAACUUUUGUAUCAAGAUUCCUCAGUCCGGCUGGCUAACAGGCCAUGUGCAGCCUGAUUUCCUGUCUUACAUGUAGUUUUACCAUAAUUCUUUGACCAAUGGGCAGGGAACAGCCUUUCACAGGCUCUCAGGACAUAAUUUCAAGCAAUUUCUUAGUAACUAGCAAUUCACUUCCGGAGCUAGAGGUGGUCUAAACUGAGCUCCAAAGCGACCAUUAACUUUUUCUCUUUCAAAUAGAGCCAGUGAGUAUUUUUCCCUCUGGGUGCACACUUGCAUAUCUUUACAAACAGGGCACUGUUAGAUUUCUACCCUGCCAUAAACUCUGACUGUAAUACCUCAUCCUCUACUGACCUGAAGUGAACUCUGAGGAGAGGGAACAGUAAUAAAGCAAAACCCAGCAAACAGUGUGAAGCUUUUGUAAGAUCUUAUAUAACUGGAUUGGCUAUAUUGGGAACUUGCCUUUGGUUUUAAUUAUAGAUUUAAGGGUGCACUUAUCGGGCUCUGUGCCAUCUCUUUGCUCCCUCCCUUCACUCUCGAUUUGCUUUAUAUAAUGAGCAACCACUACAAAAA